UACGUAGGGUGCGAGCGUUAAUCGGAAUUACUGGGCGUAAAGCGUGCGUAGGCGGUUCGUUAAGUUCGUUGUGAAAGCCCCGGGCUCAACCUGGGAAUGGCAAUGGAAACUGGCGGGCUGGAGUAUGGCAGAAGGGGGUGGAAUUCCGCGUGUAGCAGUGAAAUGCGUGGAGAUGCGGAGGAACACCGAUGGCGAAGGCAGCCCCCUGGGCUAACACUGACGCUCAUGCACGAAAGCGUGGGGAGCAAACAGG
This 253-nucleotide ribosomal RNA is filed under the name uncultured bacterium. RNAcentral's name for it is "partial 16S ribosomal RNA". It matches the Rfam family "Bacterial small subunit ribosomal RNA", at positions 524 to 776 of the family's 1533-position model. The record is from RNAcentral.